Molecule: small nuclear RNA, 164 nt
Organism: Antechinus flavipes (yellow-footed antechinus)
Lineage: Eukaryota; Metazoa; Chordata; Mammalia; Dasyuromorphia; Dasyuridae
Product: U1 spliceosomal RNA
Exons: 1
Source: RefSeq, a predicted model, not a curated record
AUACUUACCUGGCAGGGGUGAUUCCAAGAAAACGAAGGUGAUUUCCCCAGGGUGAGGCUUAUCCAUUACAAUCCAGAUGGACUGACCCCUGCGAUUUCCCCAAAUGGAGGAAACUUGACUGCAUAAUUUGUGAUAGUGGGGGACUGUGUUUGCGUUCUCCCCUG